AACGAACGCUGGCGGCAUGCCUAACACAUGCAAGUCGAACGAGACCUUCGGGUCUAGUGGCGCACGGGUGCGUAACGCGUGGGAACCUGCCCUUAGGUUCGGAAUAACUCCCCGAAAGGGGUGCUAAUACCGGAUAAUGUCUUCGGACCAAAGAUUUAUCGCCUUUGGAUGGGCCCGCGUUGGAUUAGCUAGUUGGUAGGGUAAAAGCCUACCAAGGCGACGAUCCAUAGCUGGUCUGAGAGGAUGAUCAGCCACACUGGGACUGAGACACGGCCCAGACUCCUACGGGAGGCAGCAGUGGGGAAUAUUGGACCAUGGGCGAAAGCCUGAUCCAGCACUGCCGCGUGAGUGAUGAAGGCCUUAGGGUUGUAAAGCUCUUUUACCCGGGAUGAUAAUGACAGUACCGGGAGAAUAAGCUCCGGCUAACUCCGUG
Molecule: ribosomal RNA, 433 nt
Filed under: uncultured bacterium
Lineage: Bacteria
Description: partial 16S ribosomal RNA
Rfam family: Bacterial small subunit ribosomal RNA
Source: RNAcentral